UUCAUUUCCUUUAGUUAAUGAAAGACAUAAGAAGAGUCUCAUCAUCAGUUAAAGGGUUAUAGAAAUCACAGCAUCAAUUGCAACCAGAGCUUUCAAGUCAACUGCCUUCUGACGGGGCAGUGUUCUCUCCUCUCUAUGGAGCCUGAGCUGUGAUUUAGCCAUGUCCAAGUGCUGCCUGGCAGGCUCCAGUGACAAAAGCAGUUACUCAUUGCUGCUCAGCUAUAGACUGAAUAUGGGCAUGGGACAACACUAAAAGCUGUUACACAGCAAGAAAAGAAAUAAGACUUCUAAAUGGUAGCUGCUACUAAGACAAUUUAAUGUUGUUCAAUCUCUCAUUUUUAUAGUGCUGUGUAUUGAAUCUACAUCCUCACACAUGCCAGAAUCCUCAAAGAACAGCGUUUGAAACAUCCGUUUCCACGUGGUGCUCAAAGUAGCCCGUGGCAGAUUGUAGACUGAUGAAACACCCCUUUGUGGCCUUGAGGGUGAUGCUCACAUGUGAACCCUGGCAGAGCUGCUAACUGAAGGAGGCUGGUUCAUCAAUAACACCACAUAACAACUAUCCCAGAUCUGGAACAUCUUUCUGAUUUCUCUAUACGAUAUUCUUUAUGGUGCCUUCAGAAAGCAAAUCUUGAAGAAAAUGAGCCUCCAUCCCUUGGUACUCCAGGAGGGUUGUGUUUCGUGGUAUCUUAGUAUCAGUAGUAUUUCUCCAGGUCCGGGGAGCUAUGGAUUCAGCAGGCAUGCCGUCAUUCUGCGUUUAUGGAAUUUAAAGUCCGGUGAAGAAAGAAUAUGGAAUAAACAAGAAAAUGAUGCACAUUUUGUUAAGUGUCUGCAUUUUUGAGUAGCACAUGGAAAGGGUCACAAAGGAGUUGUUGGAGACCUAUUCAGAUGGAGUGAAGUCUUCUAAAGGAUGAGAAAAGACACCAGUGUAUGGACUGUAGGGAGUGGAUAACUUUAAAAAUUGGUAACACGAUGCCAACUGCAAAUUUCACAGGAAUAUUUGGACAAAGUAAACCUGUCAUUCAGUGUAUGUCCAAAAGCACAGAUAACUCUAAACUAUGUUGUCUUUGUUUAUACAUGUCAUAUAUACAUACAUGCAUGCACACAUACCUGUGAUAAGGUUUAAUUGAUAAUAUAGACAUA
Molecule: non-coding RNA, 1140 nt
Organism: Cricetulus griseus (Chinese hamster)
Lineage: Eukaryota; Metazoa; Chordata; Mammalia; Rodentia; Cricetidae
Source: RefSeq, a predicted model, not a curated record